ACAUUCAAACACCGAUUCUCGUCCGAUCACCGAAGUUAGACAACGUCGUGCCUGGUCAGUACCUCGAUGGGUAACCACUUGGGAAUACUAGGUGCUGUAAG
This is a non-coding RNA of Acanthosepion pharaonis, 101 nucleotides long. Lineage: Eukaryota; Metazoa; Mollusca; Cephalopoda; Sepiida; Sepiidae. The record is from the annotation of a GenBank genome assembly.